This 497-nucleotide ribosomal RNA is filed under the name uncultured bacterium. Its description in RNAcentral is "partial 16S ribosomal RNA". It matches the Rfam family "Bacterial small subunit ribosomal RNA", at positions 30 to 523 of the family's 1533-position model. The record is from RNAcentral.
AUUGAACGCUGGCGGCAUGCCUUACACAUGCAAGUCGAACGCGAAAGGGGGCAACCCUGAGUAGAGUGGCGCACGGGUGAGCAAUACAUCGGAACAUACCCAGUAGUGGGGGACAACCAGUCGAAAGACUGGCUUAUACCGCAUACGACCUACGGGUGAAAGCGGGGGACCGUAAGGCCUCGCGCUAUUGGAUUGGCCGAUGUCUGAUUAGCUAGUUGGUGAGGUAACGGCUCACCAAGGCGACGAUCAGUAGCUGGUCUGAGAGGAUGAUCAGCCACACUGGGACUGAGACACGGCCCAGACUCCUACGGGAGGCAGCAGUGGGGAAUUUUGGACAAUGGGGGCAACCCUGAUCCAGCAAUGCCGCGUGAGUGAAGAAGGCCUUCGGGUUGUAAAGCUCUUUCGGCCGGGACGAAAUCGCUCUGGUGAAUAUCCAGGGUGGAUGACGGUACCGGAAUAAGAAGCACCGGCUAACUACGUGCCAGCAGCCGCAGUAA